RNAcentral lists this ribosomal RNA (503 nucleotides) under uncultured bacterium. RNAcentral describes it as "bacterial SSU rRNA". It matches the Rfam family "Bacterial small subunit ribosomal RNA", at positions 15 to 507 of the family's 1533-position model. The record is from RNAcentral.
GAUCCUGGCUCAGGAUGAACGCUAGCUACAGGCUUAACACAUGCAAGUCGAGGGGAAACGAUAUUGGAAGCUUGCUUCCGAUAGGCGUCGACCGGCGCACGGGUGAGUAACGCAUAUCCAACCUGCCCAUCACUUGGGAAUAACCUUGCGAAAGUAAGACUAAUGCCCAAUGACAUUUAUAGAAGGCAUCUGAAAUGAAUUAAAGAUUUAUCGGUGAUGGAUGGGGAUGCGUCUGAUUAGCUUGUUGGCGGGUAACGGCCCACCAAGGCGACGAUCAGUAGGGGUUCUGAGAGGAAGGUCCCCCACAUUGGAACUGAGACACGGUCCAAACUCCUACGGGAGGCAGCAGUGAGGAAUAUUGGUCAAUGGGCGAGAGCCUGAACCAGCCAAGUAGCGUGCAGGAAGACGGCCCUAUGGGUUGUAAACUGCUUUUAUAGGGGAAUAAAGUGAGCCACGUGUGGUUUUUGCAUGUACCCUAUGAAUAAGGACCGGCUAAUUCCGUG